Molecule: ribosomal RNA, 310 nt
Filed under: uncultured bacterium
Lineage: Bacteria
Description: bacterial SSU rRNA
Rfam family: Bacterial small subunit ribosomal RNA
Source: RNAcentral
CGUGUCGUGAGAUGUUGGGUUAAGUCCCGUAACGAGCGCAACCCUUGUCCUUAGUUACCAGCACGUAAUGGUGGGCACUCUAAGGAGACUGCCGGUGACAAACCGGAGGAAGGUGGGGAUGACGUCAAGUCAUCAUGGCCCUUACGGCCUGGGCUACACACGUGCUACAAUGGUCGGUACAGAGGGUUGCCAAGCCGCGAGGUGGAGCUAAUCCCAGAAAACCGAUCGUAGUCCGGAUCGCAGUCUGCAACUCGACUGCGUGAAGUCGGAAUCGCUAGUAAUCGCGAAUCAGAAUGUCGCGGUGAAUACG